Non-coding RNA from Cordylochernes scorpioides, 73 nucleotides. NCBI's taxonomy places the organism in Eukaryota, Metazoa, Arthropoda, Arachnida, Pseudoscorpiones, Chernetidae. The record is from the annotation of a GenBank genome assembly.
UGCAUCGGCCGGGAAUCGAACUCGGGCAGACCGCGUGGCAGGCGCGAGCAUUCUACCACUGAACCACCGAUGG